RNAcentral lists this long non-coding RNA (1026 nucleotides) under Salmo salar (Atlantic salmon). RNAcentral's name for it is "lncRNA (ENSSSAG00000097824.1)". Lineage: Eukaryota; Metazoa; Chordata; Actinopteri; Salmoniformes; Salmonidae. The record is from RNAcentral.
UCAUUGGAUAUGGUUCAUUGGAUAUGGUUCAUUGGAUAUGGUUCAUUGGAUAUGGUUCAUUGGAUAUGGUUCAUUGGAUAAGGUUCAUUGGACAUGCUUAGUGGGUGGGCAGAAAGAUGUUCAGUAACACACUGAACAAAAAUAUACAUGCAACAAUUUUACUGAUUUACAGUUCAUAUAAGGAAAUCAGUCAACUGAAAUACAUUUUUUAGGCCCUCAUCUCAGCCAGGCCCAGUCAAUCAGAAUUAGUUUUUCCCCACAAAAGGGCUUUUUUUACAGGCAGAAAUUCUCCUCAGUUUCAUCAGCUGUCUGGUCUCAGACGAUCCUGCCUGUGAAGAAGCCGAAUGUGGAGGUCCUGGGCUGGCGUGGUCUGCGGUUGUGAGGCCGGUUGGACGUACUGCCAAAUCCUCUAAAAUAAGGGAGGCGGCUUAUGGUAGAGAAAUUAACAUUCAAUUCUCUGGCAACAGCUCUGGUGGACAUUCCUGCAGUCAGCAUGCAUGUUGCACAAAAAGUUGAUAGUGUAAAACACUUACAAUAUAAAAUAACAGUACAGGAUUUAUAAACAUAUCUUGUCUGAUAAAUGAACAAGUCUACAGCCCAUGACAUGGAGCAUAGCCAGAUAACAUACAGUAUCUAGUCUGAUAAAUGAACAAGUCUACAGUCUAUAUCAUGGAGAAUAACCAGAUAACAUACAGUAUCUAGUCUGAUAAAUGAACAAGUCUACAGUCUAUAUCAUAACCAGAUAACAUACAGUAUCUAGUCUGAUAAAUGAACCAGUCUACAGUCUAUAUCAUAGCCAGAUAAUACAGUAUCUAGUGUGAUAAAUGAACAAGUCUACAGUCUAUAUCAUGGAGAAUAACCAGAUAACAUACAGUAUCUAGUCUGAUAAAUGAACAAGUCUACAGUCUAUAUCAUGGAGAUAACCAGAUAACAUACAGUAUCUAGUCUGAUAAAUGAACAAGUCUACAGUCUAUAUCAUAACCAGAUAACAUACAGUAUCUAGUGUGAUAAAUGAACCAGUCUACA